RNAcentral lists this ribosomal RNA (449 nucleotides) under uncultured bacterium. Its description in RNAcentral is "partial 16S ribosomal RNA". It matches the Rfam family "Bacterial small subunit ribosomal RNA", at positions 354 to 796 of the family's 1533-position model. The record is from RNAcentral.
GUGGGGAAUUUUGGACAAUGGGGGCAACCCUGAUCCAGCAAUGCCGCGUGCAGGAAGAAGGCCUUCGGGUUGUAAACUGCUUUUGUACGGAACGAAACGGUCCUGGUUAAUAUCUGGGGCUAAUGACGGUACCGUAAGAAUAAGCACCGGCUAACUACGUGCCAGCAGCCGCGGUAAUACGUAGGGUGCGAGCGUUAAUCGGAAUUACUGGGCGUAAAGCGUGCGCAGGCGGUUUUGUAAGACAGGCGUGAAAUCCCCGGGCUCAACCUGGGAAUGGCGCUUGGGACUGCAAGGCUGGAGUGCGGCAGAGGGGGAUGGAAUUCCGCGUGUAGCAGUGAAAUGCGUAGAUAUGCGGAGGAACACCGAUGGCGAAGGCAAUCCCCUGGGCCUGCACUGACGCUCAUGCACGAAAGCGUGGGGAGCAAACAGGAUUAGAUACCCAGUAGUCC